GGCGAGUGAGCGGCAAAAGCUCAAAUUUGAAAUCUGGUACCUUUGGUGCCCGAGUUGUAAUUUGGAGAGUACCACUUUGGGACUGUACUUUGCCUAUGUUCCUUGGAACAGGACGUCAUGGAGGGUGAGAAUCCCGUGUGGCGAGGGUGUCAGUUCUUUGUAAAGGGUGCUCGAAGAGUCGAGUUGUUUGGGAAUGCAGCUCUAAGUGGGUGGUAAAUUCCAUCUAAAGCUAAAUACAGGCGAGAGACCGAUAGCGAACAAGUACAGUGAUGGAAAGAUGAAAAGAACUUUGAAAAGAGAGUGAAAAAGUACGUGAAAUUGUUGAAAGGGAAGGGCAUUUGAUCAGACAUGGUGUUUUGCGCCCCUUGCCUCUCGUGGGCUUGGGACUCUCGCAGCUCACUGGGCCAGCAUCGGUUUUGGCGGCCGGAAAAAACCUAGGGAAUGUGGCUCUGCGCCUCGGUGUAGAGUGUUAUAGCCCUGGGGAAUACGGCCAGCCGGGACCGAGGACUGCGAUACUUGUUAUCUAGGAUGCUGGCAUAAUGGUUAUAUGCCGCCCGUCU
This 560-nucleotide ribosomal RNA is filed under the name Nakaseomyces glabratus. RNAcentral's name for it is "[Candida] glabrata partial large subunit ribosomal RNA". It matches the Rfam family "Eukaryotic large subunit ribosomal RNA", at positions 88 to 654 of the family's 3401-position model. The record is from RNAcentral. Lineage: Eukaryota; Fungi; Ascomycota; Saccharomycetes; Saccharomycetales; Saccharomycetaceae.